UAACAUGAUCCUCCAACCUUGGCCUCCUAAAGUUCUGGGAUUAUAGGCAUGAGCCACUGGGUCUGGCCCUAAAUCAUGUUUAAUAAUUUACUUUCGUUACAAAAAAAUGCAUACAUUAUAUAAAAUGCAGAAAAUGCAGAUAAGGAUGAAGACAAUAGAGAGUCUCAUAACUCCAGGAGUAAGAGAUUAACACUAUUAACAUUUUGAUGCCUAUUCUUUUGGUCUUUUUCCUGUGCAUAUGGACACCAAUAUUUUUAUAAAGUUGAGAUUAUAUUGUACACUCUGUUGUAUGACCUUGUCUUUUUACUUAUCUAUUAUGAACAUAUAUCUACAUCGUUAAAUAUUCUUCUAUAAUAUCAUUUAAAAAUAAAUAUAUGGUCUUUUUUGUAUAUACAUAUCUGUAUAGUUACACUGUAAUUUAAAAAAUCAACUCACUAUUAUUGGAUAUUCAGGUUGUUUUCAAUUAUUCCCUAUUAGAUAAGUAAAUCCUUGAUAACUCUUAUAGUAAGUAAGAAUUACCUUCCUCUGCCUUGUGCUGUCUUCACUGAGUGUUUCCAGUGGACACAGACAUUGGCAUCAUUUGAGAUUUUAGUAUCACAUUUGAGAUCUGUAUUUGGGUCCCGUUCUGGCCAUAUAUUUACUGUGUAACCUGGAAUAAAUUACCCUUUCUGAGUUUCGGUGUUUUCAUUAGUAAGUGAGUACCAAUAAUAAUAGUGACUACCUCAUGAAAUUAUUCCGAGAGUUAAACUGAGAGACUUAGCAUAGACCAUCAAUGUGUGUAAAUGCUGGGUCAAAGGAUAUGUACUAUUUUUGAGACAGGAUAAAAUUGCUCUAUUACCUUCCAGAAGGGUUGAGCUAUUUAUAUCCUUGACAGCAGUGUAAGACAGUACCCAUUUUCUCGGCAACUUGACAACAUUGAGUAUUAUCAUUUUAAAAAAUUUGCCAACUUGAUGGGCAAAAAAGAUACAGCAUCAUUUUAAUUUGCAUUUCUGAUCAUGCGAUUUUUAAUAAAUGUUUACUUAUGUGAGUCACAUGGUCCUGCUGACCGUGGAAAGAGGAGACUGAUAAGCGAACCAAGGUACCCAGAAUGAAGGAUGGCAGAGUUAUAAAAUACGCAGCUGAUGGGGGAGACAGGGCUUGGAAGAACGACACUUUAUAAGCAUAUAAACUGUCCCUCUAGAGAUCUGAACUCAAAAUUAUAGGCAGCAUUGUAUAUUGGGUUGUCUGGGAAUUUGAGGCAGCCAAGAUUCAAAGCUUGGAAAGGAAGUUUAAGUUGGAGGACAGACAAGGGAACUGAGCCUCUUUUUCACAGGAUGGUUGGCCACACGCCUCUGAACACUUUCAAGCCUGGCCCCGCUCCCUAUGUGGUGGGGAAUCAGUUCCAACAGCCCCUGUGUCUGAGGUGCUCUGCCCCCCACUCUCACCGUCAUGGAAGGAAUAGAGCAGCAGGGCAAGACUGCCAUCAGCUUGAUGAUGCAAUUCCUCUGGCAGCUGACAACAACGAAGGGCAAAACAACCUCUGCCAAUGAAGGAGCAUAAAAACCCUGAGUGUUAGUCCUUGGCACUUCUUCACGGCUUUAUUCCACAUCAGAGGAAAAUAAGGAAGCAAGAUGUAGAAACAGGGCUAAAAUUAGCCUUCCAGAUUCUAUUUUAUAAGACUUCUAGAGUGUCACCCCCACACACCCACACACAAACAGUAAUGAAAGAUAUUUUCACUUUUGCCAAGCUCAUCUAUUGACUGAUCCCUUGCCUGAGGUCUUCUGAAAUGCACUUGUUACUCUAACCUGGAACCAGGACUUCAUUUAUUCAUUCAGUCACGCUCAACACUCUGAAUACAAUGGUAUAGAAAAUACGCUCUUGUCCUGUAGAUGCUCUUAGUGACCUGGGGAAACCCUCAGCCACUUGCGAGUUUUUCCAACUCAGUGCUUUAGAAAACUUGCAAAUACAACUAUAUAUUAAGUAUGUGUGUAUAUAUAUGUAUAUAUAUACACACACACGUAUAUAUUUAAAUUAUCAUUGCUAGUAGGUAUCAAGGAGCAUUCAGUGACUCCUCUCCUCUUGAAGAACCAAAGCUGAUGAAAAGAAGGCCAGGUAAGGUACAGACCCUGGGUAGAAAAGGAACUUUUCUGUUCUGAGAGCCACAUACCAUCCUGGGACCUUCCUCUGCCUUGUGCUGUCUUCACUGAGUGUUUCCAGUGGACAACUCUCAGAUGCCCAGGAGCUGCUCUGCUGGGUGCCACACCACUCCUCAGAACUUCCAAAUAGCUCUCGUUGCUCCUACUGGGGAACAUGCCCAGAUAUUCUCACUGCUAGGCUCUUUUUUGGGCUCCCAGGUAGCACUUCCUCAGCACCCACCUCUUGGCAGAAGAAGCCAAUACAUUCCCUUUAGAUCUGGAGCCCAUGAGAAAGAGAUAUUCAUACUACAAAAGGAGAAUCUUUAGAGGGUAACCCCAGACAUGUAAUUAUUACCACAAGAUCUUUGAAAGCUCUGGCAGAGAUUUUGACUUGUAAUCAUCUGGAAUCAUUGCUUGGUAGACUGGGCAAUUGUCCUGCAUCUUUUAGGACUAAUGAUAUUGGAAACGAGAGGGACACUGCUUGGCAUUUGGGAUUGUAAAUAGCAGCAGGAUGGACAUGCUGAUGGUCCAGCUUCUACAGGGCACGUAGCUGUUAACUGAUGGAAUCAACAGCCUAACCUUGCACAACAGCCUAACCUUGCAAGGGAAAGCCCCCCACCCCUUGCUUAUCUCUGCUGACCCAAGGAAGCAUCUUGGGUCCCCUGUUUCCUCAAGAUUUCCCCUGACUGUCCAGCCUCUCAGGUCACUGAUCUUGCCUGUCCUAUUUUUCUAUCUUGACACCUUCUUGUGCACCUCCAAAUAACCAAUCUGUCCCCAUGUCUCUCUGACUUCAAAUCCUAACUAUCUCUCAAGUCUAUUCAGUUCUGAUUAUGUUCAGCACCAUCACCCUCUUUGUAGCCACCAUCAUCACUCCCCACGACUCUUGACAUUUUGGUCUCCAUAUUUUCAGUCUUGUUCCUCUUCCAUUUAUUCUCCCCAGCAAGUCUGGGAGACCUUAAAAUACUUCAAUGGCUUCCUAUUGCUCUUUAAAAAGUCCCAAAUUUCUAACAUAGCCUUAUGGCCCAGGUCCUUGCACAUACGUUCAGCUUCUUUCUGCCCCUGUUCACUGGGCUUCCAUUAAGUUGGUGCAAAAGCAAUUGCAGCUUUUGCCUUGAAAGUAAUGACAAAAACCACAAUUGCUUUUGCGUCAACCUAAUAACACCUUAGCCAUAGCCAUCUUUUGGUUUCUCAGACCACAAUUGCUCCCUUCUGUCUCAGGUCACUCAUGUUUCCCUCAGUCUAAACCACUUAUUCCCCAUCCCCCGUUUAAUUCCCUGAAUUGUUCAGAUCUCUGCCCGCAACUCUCUUCCUUAUAGAUGUCCAUCCUCACUUCCUGGACCAGGAAGUGCAUAUUCUUAGCUCUCUAUGUAAUGCAUAUUCUUAGCUCUCUAUGUAAUGUGUCCAUCAUGGCCCUUUUCACAAUUCAUAAAUUUAUAUUUACAUUAUCAUUUAAUUGACUUCUGCAGCCAAUUAGGCUCUAAAAUACACAAGGGAAGAGACCAGAGUUUCCUUCUCACUAUUCAAUUUCUGGCACAUGUUUGUUAUAUAGCGGAUAAUCAAUAAAGUACUUAUUAAAAGAAUGAAUAAAGAAAUGACUUAACAAGACCAGUUAGCUUUCUCAAUAAACCUUAAGAUUUUUUUUCCUCCAGAAAUAAAAUACAAUGUAUGUAUGAUUUUUCCUGAUUUUGUCACAUUGGAUACUUCAGAUAAUAAAAUCAAAGAGGCCAAAUAUCUCUGGGGUUCCAGGGAUUGGGAAAACAACCUGAGUUUUCACCCUUUAAUGUCAAUUUCAUAGGUUACUCUGGUGAUUUAAGGUGUGCAUGGAGUAGGGUAACAUAGUGAAUGGGUUUUAUUAUUAACUUUCUUUUCCCCAGCACCUCCUACCCUUGACCUUACUCAUGAGUCCUUGUCAAAAGUUUACUCAAGGAUCCCUUCAGCAUCACAGGCUCAUGGUCUUCUUCUUGCUGCCUCCAAUCAUUGGUCAUUAGAAAGGUAUUUCUUGAGUGUACACACGUGUAAGAAUGAACACAUGUAUGUGCAAAAACUGUGUAUUAUGCUUUCAUUUCCAGCUUGGAAUAUGACCCUCUUCACCCUCUCCUAAUCUUAGAUUUCUAGGUCCAGCCAAAAUUCUGUAAGAGUAAUCGUUCCAUUUGUUGAGUAAUUACAAUGUGCUUAACACUGCUGAGUGCAUUACAUAAGUUAUUUCCUUUCAUACUUAUGAGUGGUGGGGUGGGUAUUAUAUUUUCUAUUUGAAAGAAAAAAAUGGGUAAGAGCAUCAAAGCUUAGAGACACUGAUUAACUCAUUGAGUGUCAUCUGGCUGACUCUGAAAGCCACACACGUACUCGCUAUGCCAUGCUGCCUGCAUUUAUUCCACAAAGCAUUUCUUGGUCAUUUUCAUUCUUACCGACUUCCUCUUCCUCUGAAUUGUUACAGCUCCUUCUGGCUGUGACGCUUGGGAUUUCAUUAUGCUCUGUGCAAAUUUAGGACGUCCAAUGUAGAUUCCCUCUGUCUCCCCAGCUGUCCUUGUGCUGCAGGAGGGUAAGGGCUACCAUAUCUGCCCUUCCUCACAUGGAGCCCAAGUUGGACUAAAGAACGUGGGGUCUGCAUAGGCAUAUUUUGUAGUUAAUUACACCCACCCCAUGGCAUGAAGUAGUGGGAAGGAGGGGGCAGGAGUUCAUCAGGGGAGCCAUCCACAAGGGAAGGGUGGCGCAGGGAACGUCCUGCAACAAGUAGGCUGCCCAGUGAGUGAGCCACGACUUUGGAAGUGUUGUGGUAGUUUUGUUUACAUUUGCACAUGUCCCAAGUGGCUAAGUAAUCAUAGAAGUAUUGCUUCCAUGGAAAGGGCAAGCACAGACCUCUUCGAAAACAAACUAUAUACAUCUUGUCAAUGGAAUGGCAUUCUGCAAAAUAGAAAAGCAUAUGCUAUGUGGUGGUGAGUGUUAGAACAACAAACCGUAGCUUAGUGAUGCCUUCUGAGCAGCUUGUUUUUGCUUAAUUACAAGUUGCUAUAGCUCUUUCCCUUACUCAAUUGUGAGCCUCUCUCCUAAUUGUGUCUCACAGAUGCCUAGUGAGGAGGUUAUUCCGCUUGUAUUUACAUCAUUACCAAUCCACCAUCAGAGUGUAUUGCUAACUGGUUCUCCUUACAAAUGCUUGUUGGAUUUGUUUUGUGUUUUCAGUUUUAUGUUCCAUUGCUUGACUACUUUUUCUUUGGUUUUAAUCCAAACUUCUACUUCAGCCUCUGCUCAUGAAGUCUCCCUCUCCCGAGUCCUUUGGGUUGCAAUAAUCAGAGACUCAAGUUGAGUGGAGACACACACUGAACAGAUGACAUGCCAGCAAAACUUGCCCCAAAAGUUGGGGAGGGGAAUGGUGCUCAACUGAACGCAGCUGCUCUUGGGAGAGUCUUGACGGAGACCUUUGCAUUGACGGUGCCUGGCAUCAGUGAUUGAGGCGGGGCCAUCUGAUCGACUUUUGUCUCUGAAGGAAAACCCUGAGGAAACUCCCUACAGCCCUCAGUGGCUGGUGGAUGGAUAAAGAGGUGGAAAGACAUAGGUCCAGGCCGUAGAUUCCGCUAUCAGGAUCUCCUCAUCCAUGGAUCAGCACACAGCCCUAGGCCUACCUACCAUCUCUUAAGAGGGAACUGCACAAGACACUUCAUUCUCUUUAAUCUGCUCUACCCUGUCAUAUACCGUUGUUUAUGAUGCUAACAAUUACGAUGGUGCAAUAGCACACUCAGUGACUCAUCAGCGCCCGCCUUCCAGAGGCACUCAGCUUUCACAUACGCGCCUCACCCCACAGACUUAUAGGAAAUUCGGCCUUCUCCUACACUCUACAAUCAGACACCCACCCUCUGCCUUGUCAGGAAGGUAAGAAGCUUUUCCUUGGAGUACUGUCAGCUUUGACACUGCUUCCACUCUGUCCUCAGAGUGGGACAACAAUCUGACCUCAGAAUACAUUUCCAGCAUGUAGGAUUCUGCCUUAUUUUUUACCCAGUCUCCUGCUAAUAACUGGCUUCCCGCUUUUUCUGCCCCCACCUGAGUCUUUGCUGCACUUUGCUGACCAAGAUCCUUCCAUCUCAGGGAAUGGAGCCACGCCACUGACGGAUGGGCCUUCUCAGGUGUUUUUCAGGUCCUGAAUUCCAGCAAAACAGCUGAACAGCUGAUGGCAAGCAGUUUGAAGACCUCCACAGAGGAACCAAAUCAGCAUGAGAAUACAGUUUCUUCCCCCAUGACUUCACCCUGCACUCUUCCAUCAAUCAACAAUCUCCACUCUCUUAAAAAUCCUAGCCCAGCACUCCUUGGGGAGACAGAUUGAGGUUCCCUCUUAUCUCCUCGUUCAGCAGCCCUACAAUUAAACUUCUUUCUCUGCUGCAA
Macaca mulatta (Rhesus monkey) is the source of this 6485-nucleotide non-coding RNA. Lineage: Eukaryota; Metazoa; Chordata; Mammalia; Primates; Cercopithecidae. The record is from RefSeq and is a predicted model, not a curated record.